CCGAGUUUACAACUCCCAAACCCCCUGUGAACAUACCACUUGUUGCCUCGGCGGAUCAGCCCGCUCCCGGUAAAAACGGGACGGCCCGCCAGAGGACCCCUAAACUCUGUUUCUAUAUGUAACUUCUGAGUAAAACCAUAAAUAAAUCAA
Molecule: unclassified non-coding RNA, 150 nt
Filed under: soil metagenome
Description: partial internal transcribed spacer 1
Source: RNAcentral